This 329-nucleotide long non-coding RNA is filed under the name Homo sapiens (human). RNAcentral's name for it is "non-protein coding lnc-XKR9-5:2". Lineage: Eukaryota; Metazoa; Chordata; Mammalia; Primates; Hominidae. The record is from RNAcentral.
GGGGAAUCCAAUCAGGAGCAGUGAAAGAUAUGCAAAUACCUUGAUGAUUUGCUCUUAUAAGGACUCAUCACUUCUCAAAAAACUUCCAAAUACACCUAAAAUGAGUUAUUCUUAAGAAGGAGAAUGAGGAUCCAACCCUUUAACUGAGAUCAAGAUCUAUUCCUGAGCAUCAAUGAGAGAAGACUGGACCAUGUGGGAACAGCUUAGAGUGAAGCCAACUCCCCAGCUUAGGAGACCAAGUGAGGAAUGCAACACUAGGAUUCUUGACCAGAUUUCUACUAAAGCAAAGACUUAAGAACAGAACUGCAUGCUCCACAAGUAAACCCCAA